CAUACGCUGGCCGGCGUGCCUAAUACUUGCAAGUCGAGCGGACAGAUGGGAGCUUGCUCCCUGAUGUUAGCGGCGGACGGGUGAGUAACACGUGGGUAACCUGCCUGUAAGACUGGGAUAACUCCGGGAAACCGGGGCUAAUACCGGAUGGUUGUUUGAACCGCAUGGUUCAGACAUAAAAGGUGGCUUCGGCUACCACUUACAGAUGGACCCGCGGCGCAUUAGCUAGUUGGUGAGGUAACGGCUCACCAAGGCAACGAUGCGUAGCCGACCUGAGAGGGUGAUCGGCCACACUGGGACUGAGACACGGCCCAGACUCCUACGGGAGGCAGCAGUAGGGAAUCUUCCGCAAUGGACGAAAGUCUGACGGAGCAACGCCGCGUGAGUGAUGAAGGUUUUCGGAUCGUAAAGCUCUGUUGUUAGGGAAGAACAAGUGCCGUUCAAAUAGGGCGGCACCUUGACGGUACCUAACCAGAAAGCCACGGCUAACUACGUGCCAGCAGCCGCGGUAAUACGUAGGUGGCAAGCGUUGUCCGGAAUUAUUGGGCGUAAAGGGCUCG
Molecule: ribosomal RNA, 560 nt
Filed under: Bacillus sp. Ni13
Lineage: Bacteria; Bacillati; Bacillota; Bacilli; Caryophanales; Bacillaceae
Description: bacterial SSU rRNA
Rfam family: Bacterial small subunit ribosomal RNA
Source: RNAcentral